RNAcentral lists this ribosomal RNA (468 nucleotides) under uncultured bacterium. Its description in RNAcentral is "partial 16S ribosomal RNA". It matches the Rfam family "Bacterial small subunit ribosomal RNA", at positions 28 to 507 of the family's 1533-position model. The record is from RNAcentral.
GACGAACGCUGGCGGCAUGCUUAACACAUGCAAGUCGAACGAGAAGUUCCGGCUUUGUGGGGGUCCGCUAGGUAAGAACUGGGGAGUAACACGUAAGUAACCUGCCCUUGACUUUGGGAUAACUUCAUGAAACUUGGUGUAAUACCAGAUAGGAUCUCCUGCUUCAUGGUGGGUGUGGGAAGGUUUCGGCAGUUGGGGAUGGACUCGCGGCUUAUCAGCUUGUUGGUUGGGUAGUGGCUUACCAAGGCUUUGACGGGUAGCCGGCCUGGGAUGGUGACCGGACAAAUUGGGACUGGGAUGAGGCACAGACUACUCCGGGAGGCAGCACUGGGGAAUAUUGCACAAUGGGAGGAAGGCUGACGCAGCACAGCCGUGUGCGGGAUGACGGCAUUCGCGUUGUAAACCGCUUUCGCCUGUGACGAAGCGUGAGUGACGGUAAUGGGUAAAGAAGCACCGGCUAACUACGUG